ACGCUGGCGGCAUGCCUAACACAUGCAAGUCGAACGAGACCUUCGGGUCUAGUGGCGCACGGGUGCGUAACACGUGGGAAUUUGCCUCGGGGUAUGGAAUAACUCAGGGAAACUUGAACUAAUACCAUAUAAUGUCUUCGGACCAAAGAUUUAUCGCCCUGAGAUAAGCCCGCGUAGGAUUAGCUAGUUGGUGGGGUAAAGGCUCACCAAGGCGACGAUCCUUAGCUGGUCUGAGAGGAUGAUCAGCCACACUGGGACCUGAGACACGGCCCAGACUCCUACGGGAGGCAGCAGUGGGGGAAUAUUGGACAAUGGGCGAAAGCCUGAUCCAGCAAUGCCGCGUGAGUGAUGAAGGCCUUCGGGUUGUAAAGCUCUUUUACUCGGGACGAUAAUGACGGUACCGAGAGAAUAAGCCCCGGCUAACUCCGUG
RNAcentral lists this ribosomal RNA (430 nucleotides) under uncultured bacterium. RNAcentral's name for it is "bacterial SSU rRNA". It matches the Rfam family "Bacterial small subunit ribosomal RNA", at positions 33 to 507 of the family's 1533-position model. The record is from RNAcentral.